This 84-nucleotide transfer RNA is filed under the name Trametes cinnabarina. RNAcentral's name for it is "Pycnoporus cinnabarinus tRNA". It matches the Rfam family "tRNA". Rfam says of the family: Transfer RNA (tRNA) molecules are approximately 80 nucleotides in length. Their secondary structure includes four short double-helical elements and three loops (D, anti-codon, and T loops). Further hydrogen bonds mediate the characteristic L-shaped molecular structure. tRNAs have two regions of fundamental functional importance: the anti-codon, which is responsible for specific mRNA codon recognition, and the 3' end, to which the tRNAs corresponding amino acid is attached (by aminoacyl-tRNA synthetases). tRNAs cope with the degeneracy of the genetic code in two manners: having more than one tRNA (with a specific anti-codon) for a particular amino acid; and 'wobble' base-pairing, i.e. permitting non-standard base-pairing at the 3rd anti-codon position. The record is from Rfam by way of RNAcentral. Lineage: Eukaryota; Fungi; Basidiomycota; Agaricomycetes; Polyporales; Polyporaceae.
GCCCGCCUAGCUCAAUCGGAUAGAGCGUCAGACUCUUAACAGCGGGUGAUCUGAAGGCUGCGAGUUCGACCCUCGCGGUGGGCU